Non-coding RNA from Camelina sativa (false flax), 1136 nucleotides. Lineage: Eukaryota; Viridiplantae; Streptophyta; Magnoliopsida; Brassicales; Brassicaceae. The record is from RefSeq and is a predicted model, not a curated record.
UCUUCCUUUCCUCUGCUCGACAAGAAGCAACUGCAAAACACACAAACACAACUGAAAAUCAUUCCUAAUUUCACUCCCACUAACAGACCACGUUAUUGGUGGUUACAGCAAUUCUCAUCUUCUAUAUAAAUGUUCUUCAACAUUCUCUAAACGCAAAAAAAUGCACCUGAAAACAUCUUUUAUUUUCAAUUACCAAUGUCCCACCAGAUCCAUAUGUUCUGUUAGAAAUCCCUUUCAACUUCACAAAGGUAAAUUCCUUUGAAAACAUCAAUUCUCACGGAGUUGCAACAUGCCUCUCGAGUUUACUCAUCUCUCUAAUCUAAAUUCUUAAAAAGAGAAUAGAAGAUCAGACUUCUAAUAGCCAGGACAUGGAAUAUCAGAGCUCUAAAAGCCUCUAUUUGCUUCUCGAUUCUAAAAAAGGCUAGGCUGUGAUCAAACAAAUCCAAGGAAUCCAAGCUUACGUUUGUGUACAAACAAGCCACGAGAGUGUUUUCGAGAUAACAACAAAUGUGCCUUACAUCAGCAAAUUUGGUAAAAAUCCAGUUACAAGAGCAUCAUUGGAAGGAGAAGAUUUGAUUCCUCUCAUCUUUCACAUGUACUAUGAAGGAGAGUAUCACUGUCCUAUUCUGCAACAAAAGUCUUCACUGAAUUUACAAAUAUAGUUGCCGUGAAGACUACCGGAAAUGUGUUAUGCUACGAGGUUUGUGUUUUUUGCACUUUUUAUAGUCAAAAGUCAUCUUUCUUUCUUUUAUUUUUGCAUAUAUAAAUUUAGGCAAUCAAAGAAUUAAAUAUCAAUAUUAAGAAUUGGAAGGAGCAUUUAACAGAAGAACCGUUCACAAGAGUACACCCUAUAACGAUUUUAGAGUGGAGUAAAUGGGUGACACGGAAACCAACUAGAGUCUUAGCUUUCAUGUAUAAAGCCAGAGAAAUUCUUCAAGUUGAUUGUUGUAAUUUAUAAGUGUUUGUGGUUGUAGCAAAUUCAAGAGUAAAAAAGUAUGCCUAAUUCAACAAGCUUUGUUUUUAUGAUAAAUUUAAACAAAUUUUAUUUCACUUUAUCUUUGACUUGCAUCAUAUUGAUAUAUCCAUGUCUCUGAAGAUUAAUUCUUAAUCCACAAAAGAGAACUUUAAGAGGUGUU